This 254-nucleotide ribosomal RNA is filed under the name uncultured bacterium. RNAcentral's name for it is "partial 16S ribosomal RNA". It matches the Rfam family "Bacterial small subunit ribosomal RNA", at positions 99 to 353 of the family's 1533-position model. The record is from RNAcentral.
CGGACGGGUGAGUAAUGUCUGGGAAACUGCCUGAUGGAGGGGGAGUAACUACUGGAAACGGUAGCUAAUACCGCAUAACGUCGCAAGACCAAAGAGGGGGACCUUCGGGCCUCUUGCCAUCAGAUGUGCCCAGAUGGGAUUAGCUAGUAGGUGGGGUAACGGCUCACCUAGGCGACGAUCCCUAGCUGGUCUGAGAGGAUGACCAGCCACACUGGAACUGAGACACGGCCCAGACUCCUACGGGAGGCAGCAUG